Non-coding RNA from Marchantia polymorpha subsp. ruderalis, 86 nucleotides. The record is from the annotation of a GenBank genome assembly. NCBI's taxonomy places the organism in Eukaryota, Viridiplantae, Streptophyta, Marchantiopsida, Marchantiales, Marchantiaceae.
UUAGCGCUAGCAAGGUUGACCACUCCAAUCUGGAAGUGAUUAUACCGUCCUUGAGAGAUUGUGGUGGCCAAGCUUGCUAGUGCUAA